Molecule: ribosomal RNA, 500 nt
Filed under: uncultured bacterium
Lineage: Bacteria
Description: partial 16S ribosomal RNA
Rfam family: Bacterial small subunit ribosomal RNA
Source: RNAcentral
AUUGAACGCUGGCGGAAUGCUUUACACAUGCAAGUCGAACGGCAGCACGGACUUCGGUCUGGUGGCGAGUGGCGAACGGGUGAGUAAUGUAUCGGAACGUGCCCAGUCGUGGGGGAUAACGUAGUGAAAAUUACGCUAAUACCGCAUACGAUUUAUGGACUAAAGCGGGGGAUCGCAAGACCUCGCGCGAUUGGAGCGGCCGAUAUCAGAUUAGGUAGUUGGUGGGGUAAAGGACCACCAAGCCAACGAUCUGUAGCUGGUCUGAGAGGACGACCAGCCACACUGGAACUGAGACACGGUCCAGACUCCUACGGGAGGCAGCAGUGGGGAAUUUUGGACAAUGGGCGAAAGCCUGAUCCAGCCAUUCCGCGUGCAGGAUGAAGGCCCUCGGGUUGUAAACUGCUUUUGUACAGAACGAAAAGGUUUCUACUAAUACUAGGAGCUCAUGACGGUACUGUAAGAAUAAGCACCGGCUAACUACGUGCCAGCCGCCGCUGUAA